AACGGAAGGAGCGAGCAUUAUUUAAAAUGAUUGGGCGUAAAGGGUUCGUAGAUGGUUUUUAAAGUUGAAAAAAACAAAUUAAAGCUUAACUUUUUUAAUUUUUCAAUACUAAAAAACUUGAGUAUACAUGGAAGAUAAUGGAAUUUCUAUUGGAGAGAUAAAAUGUAGUGAUAAUAGAAGGAAGGCCAAAGGCGAAAGCAAUUAUCUAAGUAUAUACUGACAUUAAGGAACGAAAGCUUGGGGAGCAAACGGG
RNAcentral lists this ribosomal RNA (253 nucleotides) under uncultured bacterium. Its description in RNAcentral is "partial 16S ribosomal RNA". It matches the Rfam family "Bacterial small subunit ribosomal RNA", at positions 524 to 776 of the family's 1533-position model. The record is from RNAcentral.